This 239-nucleotide ribosomal RNA is filed under the name uncultured bacterium. RNAcentral's name for it is "partial 16S ribosomal RNA". It matches the Rfam family "Bacterial small subunit ribosomal RNA", at positions 1253 to 1500 of the family's 1533-position model. The record is from RNAcentral.
GCCAGUGAUGGCAUGCGAAUCUCGAAAGCCUAUCUCAGUCCGGAUUGGAGGCUGAAACCCGCCUCCAUGAAGUUGGAUUCGCUAGUAAUCGCGCAUCAGCCAUGGCGCGGUGAAUACGUUCCCGGGCCUUGUACACACCGCCCGUCAAGCCAUGGGAGCCGGGGGUGCCUGAAGUUCGUUACCGUAAGGAUCGACCUAGGGCAAAACUGGUGACUGGGGCUAAGUCGUAACAAGGUAUC